This 380-nucleotide long non-coding RNA is filed under the name Panax ginseng (ginseng). RNAcentral's name for it is "long non-coding RNA (PGIN_LNC004358)". Lineage: Eukaryota; Viridiplantae; Streptophyta; Magnoliopsida; Apiales; Araliaceae. The record is from RNAcentral.
AUUUAUAUCCACAAACCAAAAAUGAAAUGACUAAUUACACUGAAAAAACUUAUAAUUAACAAACAACAAGUUAAGUCACAAAUUAAAUUCAAGAAAAUACAUAUCAUGACUUAGAUGGGAGAAUCACAAAAGAGGGUGAGGGUCAAGCAUUAAAGAGUUUUCAAUAACAUAAAAAGAGGAAAAUGAUAUAUACGUUAAUAAAUUUCAUGAUAAAAUUGGAUUGCGACUACGUAGAAUUUUAAGCAAUAAAACAGAUAUAUUUAACUACCAGAGCACCAGGGCAAGCAAUCAGAAACAAAAUGCAGAAUUAAAAAAAAAAUCCGCAUCAAGAAGAGGAUUUGGUGUUGUGUCUAGAACUAAGGAUAGAUUUCGCAUUGAGG